GGAUGAAUGUCUGAGUGGUUUAAAGUACCAACCUUGAAAGUUGGCGCAUGAAAAACAUGCCAUAGGUUCGAAUCCUAUUUCAUCCU
Molecule: transfer RNA, 86 nt
Filed under: Glaucocystis nostochinearum
Lineage: Eukaryota; Glaucocystophyceae; Glaucocystales; Glaucocystaceae
Description: tRNA-Ser
Rfam family: tRNA
About the family: Transfer RNA (tRNA) molecules are approximately 80 nucleotides in length. Their secondary structure includes four short double-helical elements and three loops (D, anti-codon, and T loops).
Source: RNAcentral